Molecule: ribosomal RNA, 585 nt
Filed under: Micromonospora sp. YIM 78107
Lineage: Bacteria; Bacillati; Actinomycetota; Actinomycetes; Micromonosporales; Micromonosporaceae
Description: bacterial SSU rRNA
Rfam family: Bacterial small subunit ribosomal RNA
Source: RNAcentral
CCUGCCCCAGGCUUUGGGAUAACCCCGGGAAACCGGGGCUAAUACCGGAUAUGACCUUGCACCGCAUGGUGUUUGGUGGAAAGUUUUUCGGCUUGGGAUGGGCUCGCGGCCUAUCAGCUUGUUGGUGGGGUGAUGGCCUACCAAGGCGACGACGGGUAGCCGGCCUGAGAGGGCGACCGGCCACACUGGGACUGAGACACGGCCCAGACUCCUACGGGAGGCAGCAGUGGGGAAUAUUGCACAAUGGGCGGAAGCCUGAUGCAGCGACGCCGCGUGAGGGAUGACGGCCUUCGGGUUGUAAACCUCUUUCAGCAGGGACGAAGCGUAAGUGACGGUACCUGCAGAAGAAGCGCCGGCCAACUACGUGCCAGCAGCCGCGGUAAGACGUAGGGCGCGAGCGUUGUCCGGAUUUAUUGGGCGUAAAGAGCUCGUAGGCGGCUUGUCGCGUCGACCGUGAAAACCUGGGGCUCAACCCCAGGCCUGCGGUCGAUACGGGCAGGCUAGAGUUCGGUAGGGGAGACUGGAAUUCCUGGUGUAGCGGUGAAAUGCGCAGAUAUCAGGAGGAACACCGGUGGCGAAGGCGGG